RNAcentral lists this long non-coding RNA (281 nucleotides) under Elaeis guineensis (African oil palm). RNAcentral describes it as "long non-coding RNA (EGUI_LNC076111)". Lineage: Eukaryota; Viridiplantae; Streptophyta; Magnoliopsida; Arecales; Arecaceae. The record is from RNAcentral.
UCGAGAACAAAGGGAAGACCUCAUCCCGAUGCAAACAAAGACUCGAUUGAUCGACAAGGAGGAAAGCUUCCUCAACGACACCUCUACGCUUUCACGACCCCAUUAAGAGCAGGGGGAAAACCCUCACUCGAACAUGAAAGAGAAAGGGGAAGGUAAAAAAGACAAGCCGACGAACUACUUCUAUGACAAAUAAAAACAAACUACAUCAAAGACAUAAGGAACUUCGUCUCAGUCGCUAAGAGGGAACAUGACAUGGGCCGAGGAUAAAUCGAUCUCCUCAA